AGAAAUGGCAUUCUUUAUUCAUAAAUAAAUCACAGAAUUACCAGAAAUAGUUUACAUGACCAAAAAGUGACAUCAAAAAUAAAAUAAGAAGUCACCGAAAGCAAUGCAAAGCAAACCAGAAACAGAGAAAAAUAACUAUGUACAGCGUCUUCAAAGGGCCAGGCACCCAAAGCCAGCUUCUGCCAGGCUCCAGCUUUGCCAGAGACAGCACAGAGGGCAGGUGCCAUGGCCUUUGGGAGGGCAGGGCCACAGGGAACCCCCGGCCGGAGGCUGCUGCUCCCAUGGCCCAGCCUGGCUUCUCCUUGGGCAGCGCUGUCACCUGAGAUGGCCCUGGCUGGGGUCAGGGACACAGCUCAGUGGAUGCCUUCUGGGGAGAUCUGCCAAUCGCUGGCCCCCACCCUCGCUCAGUGCCAUGGGGGCUAAGUGCACCUGGCUGGAGCUCACAGAACACACCCAGGAGGUGCCCGUGGGGUUUGGUAGCCCUGAUACCCAAAGUGACCCCCUCCGUGGAGAGGGGGUGCUGAUGCUCUCUGCGGAGACCAGAGCACCAUCAGGCCCAGACCUUUUGGGGAGCAGACAGUAUAGGUCUAAGUGAGCAAGCACCCCCAGGCCGCCUUGCUGAGCUCAGCCUCCCCAGGCCCUGCUUGGCCUCUGCUGCCCACAGCCUCCCUUCAGAGGCUGGGUUUGGUGCACAGGUCCAGUAAUAGCGAGGGUGCUUUCCGAUGGCAAGGAAGGAAGGAAACACACAGGAAGGUGAGGGGCAGCACCCUUGCAUUCUGGUGCCACCUCGGCCGGGGGGGGGGGCAUGGCCCGGGCAGGUGGAUGUCUGAGAUGGGCAGGGGCCACAGGGCCAUGGAAAGGGAAGGCCUAGCUCCCAGUGAGUGUGUCUGAUGUCUGCCCUGCCCUGCCCAGGGUACACCUGGGGGCAGGGGGCCUCAGGCCAAGGAAGAGCAGCUGGCUCCAUUCUCACUCUCCAUGGGAUCGACUCAAACAAGGUACAGGGCAUGUCUGAUCCAGGUCUGCAGCGUCCCCAGUGGAGGGGACACGGAGGGGCCCUUGAGCCUGGCCAUUCCAGGUUUCAAAGCAACCUGUGACUAAGAACAGUGGAUUGAGACUCCAGGGGAUGCCCCUGUCCUGGGAGCACAGCAGGACAGGCACGGCCUGAGCCAGGGAACAGGUGACUCGGGCCUUAAGGAUGGUGCCCCACUCAGGGUAGGGCUGGAUGCGAGUUCGAGCCCCAUUCCUGCCCGGCCUCUGGGAUCAGCUUGCGGAAAGAAGCCAGGACCGGGGACUGUUCUCGGACCACCAAGUACCUAGACUCUGGUGCAUCUGUCUCUCCUCCACCCUGGGCCCUCUCAGCAGGCAGGCGUGAGGAGCAGGAAUCCAGCAAGGGCUGGCUGUCCUGCCAACGGCAGCUGCAGCUAUGUCAAAAAUAUAACUCGGAGCAGCCUGGCUGCCUGCUAGAUCUGGCUUGCUUCUGAGAAGACCAGAAAAGAAAGAAAGAAAAUUCCCUGAACCAAGCAACUGAGAAACUGCUGUUCUUCCCCCCUUGCUCUGGACAUUUCAAGAGAAAGCCUAACCUUCCACAGGCACUGGCUGUGUCCCUGGACGGCCACUGCUCUUGGCAGGGACUCACAGCCCACGGCUCCUGAGGGCGAGAGGUAGCGGGAGGGCAGUGAUAGCCCCGGCUGUCCAUAAGGCUGUGUGUGCACCCCACACACCCAAGGACGCUGGGCGCCCGUCCCGACCUGGGCAGACCCAGAACUGAGUGCUGAAGAUGUUGUGGGGAGGAGAGGACGCUGACUUGGGCCACAGGUGAGGGGCGAGAUUCCCAGAUCACAAGGCACCCUCAGCCCUAGCUGGCACAUGCAGGAGGCUCCCUGGGGCAGCUGGAAGGCCAGGCCUCAGUGUCCCUGUCCCGGCACCCCACCCAGAGCCUCUGUGUCUAUGGCUUUGAGAGGGGUGGUCACCGAGGCAAAUGUCACCAGAUGUUCAGGGGCUGCACAGCUCAGUUAGAUGUCAGACCCCACUAAUCUGCUGCCGGUCCUCAUUCCUCAGCCCCGCUGUACCCCAGCCGCUCCCCGAGCCCCAUCCCGACCCCUACACCUCCGAGGCCAGAGGAGAAGGGCUCAGGUCGUGAGGACAGAUCAAGGCUUCUGGGCACACAUGGCUUCUUUCUAUUCCCAAGGCAUCCUGAAGUGUCCGGGUCGGGGGUUUGGGGAAGUGACGCAGAAGGGAGCUUCUGUCCUUGGUGUGGCCUUUUGGCCUUCAGGGCAGGCACUCGGUUUCACGGCAGAGGGUCUCUCUCACUUGAGCAGAGGCCAAGGUUCAGGGAGCCCUUAACCGACCACAGGGACCCUGUGCCGUCCCAUCUCGGGGAGAGCUGGGGAGUAGAGCCCAAAGUCCCGUGCUCUGUAGAGUUGGGGAGGAGGGGUCAGAGGAAGGAGGCGAUGUAGUGACCCCUGCCCACAAGCAGCUCCAGGGGCUGAGCUCGGGAGGGCUGAGCUCGGGAGGCCGGAGCUGCUGUGCAGGGCAGAUGGCACGGGGGCCUCCUCGGGAAGACUCAGCC
Long non-coding RNA from Heterocephalus glaber (naked mole-rat), 2569 nucleotides. Lineage: Eukaryota; Metazoa; Chordata; Mammalia; Rodentia; Bathyergidae. The record is from Ensembl.